AUUGAACGCUGGCGGCAGGCCUAACACAUGCAAGUCGAGCGAGCGGCGGACGGGUGAGUAAUGUCUGGGAAACUGCCUGCUGGAGGGGGAUAACUACUGGAAACGGUAGCUAAUACCGCAUACCAUCAGAUGUGCCCAGUUGGUAUUAGCUAGUAGGUGGGGUAACGGCUCACCUAGGCGACGAUCCCUAGCUGGUCUGAGAGGAUGACGAGCCACACGGGAACUGAGACACGGUGCAGACUCCUACGGGAGGCAGCGGCGGGGAAUAUUGGACAAUGGGCGGAAGCCUGAUGCAGCCAAGGCGCGUGUGUGAAGAAGGCCUUCGGGUUGUAAAGCACUUUCAGCGGGGAGGCGUUACCCGCAGAAGAAGCACCGGCUAACUCCGUGCCAGCAGCCGCGGUAAUUC
RNAcentral lists this ribosomal RNA (406 nucleotides) under uncultured bacterium. RNAcentral describes it as "partial 16S ribosomal RNA". It matches the Rfam family "Bacterial small subunit ribosomal RNA", at positions 29 to 526 of the family's 1533-position model. The record is from RNAcentral.